Molecule: long non-coding RNA, 517 nt
Filed under: Gossypium raimondii (Peruvian cotton)
Lineage: Eukaryota; Viridiplantae; Streptophyta; Magnoliopsida; Malvales; Malvaceae
Description: long non-coding RNA (GRAI_LNC002687)
Source: RNAcentral
GUAAUACUUGCAGCACUAGAACAGUAAAAGCAAUGAAAAGAAGAUCAGCGCAGGGAGUGAUCGCAAAGAGGGAUAACAAUCAACUAAACCCCACUAAAUGAAGGGAGAUAGUUCUCUGAAAAAAGGAAAAGAAAACAAUAAAGGGUAAAAAUCAAAGCAGAAAGAAAGAGAAGAAUAUUUAGUCAAAGAAAAAAAGGAGUAGAGAAAAGGGAUUUGCCCAAGAGAGAGAUGGAAAGGGAAAGAAGAAAGGAGAAAGGAGGAUUCAGCAGCAAAAUGAGAGGAGAGAAGGGAGAAUAUUCGGCAAGCAGAGAGAAAAGGGAAAAAGAAAAAAAAUCAAAUGGUGAACAAACCCGAGAAGAAACUUCCAGAACUUGGCAAAAUUCGGCACCAAAACUAAAACGUGAAACCCAAAACUUAUUGGAAUAAAAGCAAACUGAGAGAGAAACUCCAAAAAAAAACCAAAACCGAAUACCUUUAGUGUUAAGUGACUAAAUAAGGCACAAAUACCCUCACCAGC